Molecule: long non-coding RNA, 421 nt
Organism: Triticum aestivum (bread wheat)
Lineage: Eukaryota; Viridiplantae; Streptophyta; Magnoliopsida; Poales; Poaceae
Exons: 2
Source: RefSeq, a predicted model, not a curated record
CUUUCUAAUAUUUUAGAUAGAAGAAACAUUUCUUCUAUCUAAAAUAUUAGAAAGAAUGUACCCUUCUAUCCAAAUCCAAUUUGCAUCGAUAAAAUAAAUCCAAAUUCCAGUAGUAGAUGAAUAAUUGCAAAUUUGUGUGUGUACGAGAUUAGAAUAACUUCAAAAUAACUGACAUAAUUUUGUAUUUUUCCUGAUCAGAAAAAUACAUGAAAAAGAAAGGAGGUAGAAAUUUUUUUGGAUUUAUGGUUAAAGAAGAAAAAGAAGAAAACAGGGGUUCUGUUGAAUUUCAAGUAUUCAGUUUCACCAAUAAGAUACGGAGACUUGCUUCACAUUUGGAAUUACACAAAAAAGAUUUUUCAUCGGAAAGAGGUCUACGAAGACUUUUGGGAAAACGUCGACGUUUGCUGGCUUAUUUGGCAAA